CUACGGAGGGUGCAAGCGUUACUCGGAAUCACUGGGCGUAAAGCGCGCGCAGGCGGCUUGAUAAGUUAGAUGUGAAAGCCUACGGCUCAACCGUAGAACUGCAUCCAAAACUGUCAAGCUAGAGUCUGUGAGGGGAAGAUGGAAUUAGUUGUGUAGGGGUAAAAUCCGUAGAGAUAACUAGGAAUACCAAAAGCGAAGGCGAUCUUCUGGAACAGUACUGACGCUGAGGCGCGAAAGCGUGGGGAGCAAACAGAAUUAGAAACCCCAGUAGUCC
This 274-nucleotide ribosomal RNA is filed under the name uncultured bacterium. RNAcentral describes it as "partial 16S ribosomal RNA". It matches the Rfam family "Bacterial small subunit ribosomal RNA", at positions 523 to 796 of the family's 1533-position model. The record is from RNAcentral.